Molecule: ribosomal RNA, 200 nt
Filed under: uncultured bacterium
Lineage: Bacteria
Description: partial 16S ribosomal RNA
Rfam family: Bacterial small subunit ribosomal RNA
Source: RNAcentral
UCCUACGGGAGGCAGCAGUAGGGAAUCUUCCACAAUGGACGCAAGUCUGAUGGAGCAACGCCGCGUGAGUGAAGAAGGUUUUCGGAUCGUAAAGCUCUGUUGUUGGUGAAGAAGGAUAGAGGUAGUAACUGGCCUUUAUUUGACGGUAAUCAACCAGAAAGUCACGGCUAACUACGUGCCAGCAGCCGCGGUAAUACGUA